UUCGCCUUCCGUUGCCGGCGUCAAGCUCUCUCCUUUCUUCUCUCCGCCGGCCGUUCCUUCUUUUUCUCUCUCUACCGCUUUCUCUUCUCAGAUCUCACCCCUCUUUCUUUUUUUGUUGUUGUUUUUUUUCUUUUUUUUUCCUUGUGGCUAACUGCCGUUUUCUCUCCUUUUUUGCAGGGUUUUUAAAGAGCCGGGUUGUCCAAUUUUUUGGACAACCCGGCGAGGGGGGUUCUGGCACCCCCUGGAGUUGGUGGUCAGAGGCCCCCCCCAUCACGCGUAGUGGGUGGGGGAUGGGAAGGCGAAGGGAUGGCUGGGCGUACGCCCAGCCAUCCCG
RNAcentral lists this long non-coding RNA (334 nucleotides) under Theobroma cacao (cacao). Its description in RNAcentral is "long non-coding RNA (TCAC_LNC000824)". The record is from RNAcentral. Lineage: Eukaryota; Viridiplantae; Streptophyta; Magnoliopsida; Malvales; Malvaceae.